This 635-nucleotide unclassified non-coding RNA is filed under the name Hevea brasiliensis (rubber tree). Lineage: Eukaryota; Viridiplantae; Streptophyta; Magnoliopsida; Malpighiales; Euphorbiaceae. The record is from RNAcentral.
GGAAGGUGAGAAUAGAGGAAUUAGGGAGGAUUUAGAAGACGGAAUAAAGUGGCCAAAAUGGAUGGCGAGCCGUGACCGGAGGCUUUUGGAGUCAUCGUACGAAGCUACGGCGGACGUGGUGGUGGCGGCGGAUGGAAGUGGAAAUUAUAAAACGGUGUCGGAGGCGGUGGCGGCGGCGCCGAGUAAGAGCAGCAAAAGAUAUGUAAUAAGAAUAAAGGGUGGAGUUUACAAGGAAAAUGUUGAUGUGCCAAGUAGUAAAACCAAUAUUAUGUUUUGGGGAGAUGGAAGAUCCAACACCAUUAUCACUGCUAGCAGAAGUGUUGGGGGUGGCAGUACAACCUUCAAUUCCGCCACAGUUGCUGCUGUGGGGGAUGGAUUUUUAGCUCGGGAUAUAACCUUUCAAAACACAGCAGGAGCAGCCAAUGACCAAGCUGUAGCUCUCCGCGUUGGGUCAGAUCGCUCAGCCUUCUACCGUUGUGGCAUGCUAGCCUACCAAGACACUCUCUACGUCCAUUCAAACCGUCAGUUCUUCGUCAACUGCGUCGUUGCAGGCACAGUCGAUUUCAUCUUCGGAAACGCAGCAGUCGUAUUCCAAAACUCCGACCUCACCCCUCGCAAACCAGGCCCUAAGCAAC